Leguminivora glycinivorella is the source of this 442-nucleotide long non-coding RNA. RefSeq lists it as uncharacterized. NCBI's taxonomy places the organism in Eukaryota, Metazoa, Arthropoda, Insecta, Lepidoptera, Tortricidae. The transcript is spliced from 3 exons. The record is from RefSeq and is a predicted model, not a curated record.
UGCCAUAUUGAUAGAUGAAAGUUUUUUUCCUUCAUUUAUUUCCGUCGUUUCUAAUAUCAUUUUUUAUUCAAGACUUAUUUACAAUAAAUAGUAUUUAGUAUAACAUGUGAACCUGUAAUACUUAGUUCUUAGCUGUGGUACAAAACCCGCACCCACGGUAUUAUUUGUAAAUGGAGCUCCUCAGACACUCACGGGCUAAUUACGGCGCGAAGCCGUAAACUCAGGCAACGGCAAAUAAAAAGUGCAUCGGCGACGAACGGAAACGUGAAGUUCAAAACGACACUCCGACAAACCUGGCGAGUGAGGCGGAUCGUCAACGCGGUACCUACUAUUAUCAUCGCUGGUUCAACAGGUAGGAAUUCCUAUACCGGCUUACCAGGCGUUGUUCAAGAAAGCAAAACCAUACAGCAAACAAUAGACUUAUUGAACACUUACAUUUUAC